AUGAGACUUCAGCAGCUGAAAGAAGAAAGCUGUUAUCUGGAGGAAGCAAUAUUUUCAGGCUUUGCGUGGAAUAUGUUGCACGGAUAUAGAAAUACAAAUUUCAGAAGAAUGGAGCUGGAGAAGGUGGAGUUUCAUUAUCAGCUAAAAGGAUUUUAAACAAAUCAGAAGUUGCCCAUCAUUUUGUUCACUGCCAAUAUGAACACUGACUUAUCAAAGACUGCUUGUAAAGGGAGCAAGAAGUCCAAAAUUAAUGUUGUAGGUGAGCGAGAUUGUCAGAAAGCAUAGUUUCGUAAAAGAAUAAAGAUUAUCUCACUGAAGUGGAGGCA
RNAcentral lists this long non-coding RNA (326 nucleotides) under Struthio camelus australis. RNAcentral describes it as "lncRNA (ENSSCUG00000017082.1)". Lineage: Eukaryota; Metazoa; Chordata; Aves; Struthioniformes; Struthionidae. The record is from RNAcentral.